This 425-nucleotide ribosomal RNA is filed under the name uncultured bacterium. Its description in RNAcentral is "partial 16S ribosomal RNA". It matches the Rfam family "Bacterial small subunit ribosomal RNA", at positions 354 to 796 of the family's 1533-position model. The record is from RNAcentral.
GUCGGGAAUUUUGGGCAAUGGGCGAAAGCCUGACCCAGCAACGCCGCGUGAAGGAUGAAGUAUUUCGGUAUGUAAACUUCGUAAGAAUAGGAAGAAUAAAUGACGGUACUAUUUGUAAGGUCCGGCUAACUACGUGCCAGCAGCCGCGGUAAUACGUAGGGACCAAGCGUUGUUCGGAUUUACUGGGCGUAAAGGGCGCGUAGGCGGCGUGGUAAGUCAGCUGUGAAAUCUCCGAGCUUAACUCGGAACGGUCAGCUGAUACUGCUGUGCUAGAGUACAGAAAGGGCAAUCGGAAUUCUUGGUGUAGCGGUGAAAUGCGUAGAUAUCAAGAGGAACACCUGAGGCGAAGGCGGGUUGCUAGGCUGAUACUGACGCUGAGGCGCGAAAGCUAGGGUAGCAAACGGGAUUAGAAACCCGAGUAGUCC